CGUGUAGGCGGCCUUGCAAGUCAGAAGUGAAAUUCUCGGGCUCAACCCGGGCGCUGCUUCUGAAACUGUAGGGCUUGAGUGCUGGAGGGGAUAGCGGAAUUCCUAGUGGAGCGGUAAAAUGCGUAGAUAUUAGGAAGAACACCGGUGGCGAAGGCGGCUAUCUGGACAGUAACUGACGCUGAGGCGCGAAAGCGUGGGGAGCAAACAG
Molecule: ribosomal RNA, 208 nt
Filed under: uncultured bacterium
Lineage: Bacteria
Description: partial 16S ribosomal RNA
Rfam family: Bacterial small subunit ribosomal RNA
Source: RNAcentral